CCUACGGGUGGCAGCAGUGAGGAAUAUUGGUCCAUGGACGGAAGUCUGAACCAGCCAUGCAGCGUGCAGGCAGACGGCUCUAUGAGUUGUCAACUGCUUUUGUACAAGGGUAAACCUGAAUACGUGUAUUCAGCUGAAAGUACUGUACGAAUAAGGAUCGGCUAACUCCGUGCCAGCAGCCGCGGUAAUACGGAGGAUGCGAGCGUUAUCCGGAUUUAUUGGGGUUAAAGGGUGCGUAGGCGGAAUGCCAAGUCAGCGGUAAAGUCGCGGGGCUCAACCUCGCUCCGCCGUUGAAACUGGCGUUCUUCAGUGGGCGAGAAGUAGGCGGAAUGCGUGGUGUAGCGGUGAAAUUCAGAGAUAGCACGCAGAACUCCGAUUGCGAAGGCAGCAUACCGGCGCCCAACUGACGCUGAAGCACGAAAGCGUGUGUAUCGAACAGGAUUAGAUACCCCGGUAGUC
This 459-nucleotide ribosomal RNA is filed under the name uncultured bacterium. Its description in RNAcentral is "partial 16S ribosomal RNA". It matches the Rfam family "Bacterial small subunit ribosomal RNA", at positions 338 to 795 of the family's 1533-position model. The record is from RNAcentral.